AGAGUUUGAUCAUGGCUCAGGACGAACGCUGGCGGCGUGCCUAAUACAUGCAAGUCGAGCGAAUCUUUAGGAGCUUGCUCCUGAAGGUUAGCGGCGGACGGGUGAGUAACACGUGGGCAACCUGCCUGUAAGACUGGGAUAACAUCGGGAAACCGAUGCUAAUACCGGAUAAUCCUUUUCCUCUCAUGAGGAAAAGUUGAAAGUCGGUUUCGGCUGACACUUACAGAUGGGCCCGCGGCGCAUUAGCUAGUUGGUGAGGUAACGGCUCACCAAGGCGACGAUGCGUAGCCGACCUGAGAGGGUGAUCGGCCACACUGGGACUGAGACACGGCCCAGACUCCUACGGGAGGCAGCAGUAGGGAAUCUUCCACAAUGGACGAAAGUCUGAUGGAGCAACGCCGCGUGAGCGAUGAAGGCCUUCGGGUCGUAAAGCCCUGUUGUUAGGGAAGAACAAGUAUCGGAGUAACUGCCGGUACCUUGACGGUACCUAACCAGAAAGCCACGGCUAACUACGUGCCAGCAGCCGCGGUAAUAC
This 535-nucleotide ribosomal RNA is filed under the name uncultured bacterium. RNAcentral describes it as "bacterial SSU rRNA". It matches the Rfam family "Bacterial small subunit ribosomal RNA", at positions 8 to 526 of the family's 1533-position model. The record is from RNAcentral.